Molecule: transfer RNA, 64 nt
Filed under: Asymmetricata circumdata
Lineage: Eukaryota; Metazoa; Arthropoda; Insecta; Coleoptera; Lampyridae
Description: tRNA-Pro
Source: RNAcentral
CAGAGAAUAGUUUAUUUAAAAUAUUAACUUUGGAAGUUAAAGAAGAAUAUUAAUUUUUCUCUGA